CCUACGGGUGGCAGCAGUGGGGAAUAUUGCACAAUGGGGGAAACCCUGAUGCAGCGACGCCGCGUGAGUGAAGAAGUAUUUCGGUAUGUAAAGCUCUAUCAGCAGGAACGAGACAAGACGGUACCUGACUAAGAAGCCCCGGCUAACUACGUGCCAGCAGCCGCGGUAAUACGUAGGGGGCAAGCGUUAUCCGGAAUCACUGGGUGUAAAGGGAGCGUAGACGGCUGAGCAAGCCUGAAGUGAAAGGCGGGGGGCCCAACCCCUGGACUGCUUUGGGAACUGUACGGCUGGAGUGCAGGAGAGGUAAGUGGAAUUCCUAGUGUAGCGGUGAAAUGCGUAGAUAUUAGGAGGAACACCAGUGGCGAAGGCGGCUUACUGGACUGUAACUGACGUUGAGGCUCGAAAGCGUGGGGAGCAAACAGGAUUAGAUACCCUGGUAGUC
RNAcentral lists this ribosomal RNA (442 nucleotides) under uncultured bacterium. RNAcentral describes it as "partial 16S ribosomal RNA". It matches the Rfam family "Bacterial small subunit ribosomal RNA", at positions 338 to 795 of the family's 1533-position model. The record is from RNAcentral.